This 691-nucleotide ribosomal RNA is filed under the name uncultured Streptococcaceae bacterium. Its description in RNAcentral is "bacterial SSU rRNA". It matches the Rfam family "Bacterial small subunit ribosomal RNA", at positions 61 to 737 of the family's 1533-position model. The record is from RNAcentral. Lineage: Bacteria; Bacillati; Bacillota; Bacilli; Lactobacillales; Streptococcaceae.
GUAGAACGCUGAAGGAGGAGCUUGCUUCUCCGGAUGAGUUGCGAACGGGUGAGUAACGCGUAGGUAACCUGCCUGGUAGCGGGGGAUAACUAUUGGAAACGAUAGCUAAUACCGCAUAAGAGUAGAUGUUGCAUGACAUUUGCUUAAAAGGUGCAAUUGCAUCACUACCGGAUGGACCUGCGUUGUAUUAGCUAGUUGGUGGGGUAACGGCUCACCAAGGCGACGAUACAUAGCCGACCUGAGAGGGUGAUCGGCCACACUGGGACUGAGACACGGCCCAGACUCCUACGGGAGGCAGCAGUAGGGAAUCUUCAGCAAUGGACGGAAGUCUGACCGAGCAACGCCGCGUGAGUGAAGAAGGUUUUCGGAUCGUAAAGCUCUGUUGUAAGAGAAGAACGAGUGUGAGAGUGGAAAGUUCACACUGUGACGGUAUCUUACCAGAAAGGGACGGCUAACUACGUGCCAGCAGCCGCGGUAAUACGUAGGUCCCGAGCGUUGUCCGGAUUUAUUGGGCGUAAAGCGAGCGCAGGCGGUUAGAUAAGUCUGAAGUUAAAGGCUGUGGCUUAACCAUAGUACGCUUUGGAAACUGUUUAACUUGAGUGCAAGAGGGGAGAGUGGAAUUCCAUGUGUAGCGGUGAAAUGCGUAGAUAUAUGGAGGAACACCGGUGGCGAAAGCGGCUCUCUGGCUUGU